RNAcentral lists this ribosomal RNA (253 nucleotides) under uncultured bacterium. Its description in RNAcentral is "partial 16S ribosomal RNA". It matches the Rfam family "Bacterial small subunit ribosomal RNA", at positions 524 to 776 of the family's 1533-position model. The record is from RNAcentral.
UACGUAGGGUCCGAGCGUUGUCCGGAGUUACUGGGCGUAAAGCGCGCGCAGGCGGCGGUGUUGGCCCGGCGUGAAAGCCCCCGGCUCAACCGGGGAGGGUCGUCGGGGACCGCACCGCUUGAGGGCGGUAGGGGCUGGUGGAAUGCCUGGUGUAGUGGUGAAAUGCGUAGAGAUCAGGCGGAACACCCGUAGCGAAGGCGGCCAGCUGGGCCGUCCCUGACGCUGAGGCGCGAAGGCGUGGGGAGCGAACGGG